RNAcentral lists this ribosomal RNA (274 nucleotides) under uncultured bacterium. RNAcentral's name for it is "partial 16S ribosomal RNA". It matches the Rfam family "Bacterial small subunit ribosomal RNA", at positions 523 to 796 of the family's 1533-position model. The record is from RNAcentral.
AUACGGAGGGUGCAAGCGUUAAUCGGAAUUACUGGGCGUAAAGCGUACGUAGGCGGUUCGUUAAGUUAGAUGUGAAAGCCCCGGGCUUAACCUGGGAACUGCAUUUAAAACUGGCGAACUAGAGUUGAGUAGAGGGGAGUGGAAUUUCAGGUGUAGCGGUGAAAUGCGUAGAGAUCUGAAGGAACACCAGUGGCGAAGGCGGCUCCCUGGACUCAAACUGACGCUGAGGUACGAAAGCGUGGGUAGCAAACGGGAUUAGAAACCCUGGUAGUCC